GACGAACCGAGCGAACGUUGUUCGGAAUUACUGGGCGUAAAGCGCGCGCAGGCGGCCCUUUAAGUCCGUCGGUCAAAUGCCGGGGCUCAACCCCGAUGCAUGCCGAGGAUACUGGAGGGCUGGAGACACGUAGAGGCAAGCGGAAUUCCGGGUGUAGCGGUGGAAUGCGUAGAGAUCCGGAAGAACACCAGUGGCGAAGGCGGCAUCCUGGACCAAUAUUGACGCUGAGGAGCGAAAGCUAGGGGAGCAAACGGG
This 255-nucleotide ribosomal RNA is filed under the name uncultured bacterium. Its description in RNAcentral is "partial 16S ribosomal RNA". It matches the Rfam family "Bacterial small subunit ribosomal RNA", at positions 524 to 776 of the family's 1533-position model. The record is from RNAcentral.